GUUUUUUGUAUAUCAUCUUAUAUUGAACAUAUGCAAUUUUAUAAUGUAACAAUUUAGAUUGCUUAUAUGUAUGGAAUAAUACGUAGAAUGCAUGUGGAUAAACAAAUUGUGGUGUAUUCAUACAAUGGAAUACCAAUUUAUGGCCAUAAAAAGGAACAAACUACUGACUCGUGCAACAACGUGGAUGAAUGUUCCCCCACGUUAUCGAGAUGAAUGUCAUCUGUCUGAAUGCAACAUGGAAACUUCAGUGAAUGUGUUAGAACAGAACUCGUAUGAGAGCAUCAGCCAGAAACACAAUGGAUUAGUGUUCUGUUUCAUUCCCAUGGAUGUCAUGCACAGCACCCCUCUUCAUCUCACAUUCCUGGGGAUGCUGGCUUCUCUAACAAGAGGCUGAGUUUCCCUGGGUUUCUGUAAGGACCUGAACACCUCCAGUAGCAAUCCGUGCCCUUUGCUUGUGACUCCAGAGCUCCCAGAUAGAAGUGGUUGGAUGGAGCCAGGAACAGCAGAGAACUCCGGCCGAGGGGUGACCCACCAGCAUCGUUCCACCAGCCUCCAGCGAUGGUGGGUGUGGACUUGAACUUCCAACUUCAGUCUAGGCCAAGGGGAGGGCAGUGAGAGGUUCGCAUACCCAUCAUCCCUUCCAUGCCCAUAAAGGUUCCUAAAAUAUCAUUCGUUAGCCCCAAACUGUAUGAGACCCUCCCUCCUAGUGUUCCCCUGUGCAACUGUCACAACAUGAUUAAUCUAAUUUGCAGUAUUAUUUGUUUGCUUGUCUUAUCUCCCUGCUCUCUACAUUCUUAUGUUAUGUAAGUACCUUGAGGUCAGGGACAUCUCUAGAUGAUCUUUGUACAAGUCAUUACAUGAAGAAAAUGCUCAAUAAAUAUUUGUGUUU
RNAcentral lists this long non-coding RNA (889 nucleotides) under Homo sapiens (human). RNAcentral describes it as "HSALNT0084714". The record is from RNAcentral. Lineage: Eukaryota; Metazoa; Chordata; Mammalia; Primates; Hominidae.